RNA transcript from Drosophila rhopaloa, 1241 nucleotides. It is a transcript of the gene named protamine-like protein 99C, with no coding region annotated. NCBI's taxonomy places the organism in Eukaryota, Metazoa, Arthropoda, Insecta, Diptera, Drosophilidae. The record is from RefSeq and is a predicted model, not a curated record. The transcript is spliced from 3 exons.
CUGCUUUUCAUAGCUCAGUUUUACGAAGGCGUUCAGUAAAAGUAUUAUUUGUACAUUUUUACUUUCAAAAAAAUCAGUGAAAAAUCGAUAAUAUAAAUUUUAGUUUUCCAUAUCAGAAUUUUUCAACAUUUUUGUGAACGAACUUUAACUUUUAAAUUUACAUUCAUUCCUUAAAUUUUUCGGGUUCGCGUGAAAUUUAAAUUUUUCAAGUGGCAAGUUAACAAGACGAAGAAAUAACAAACGCAAACGAAUAUGUCUCUAACCACGACCGGUAAAGUUAGCGAAAGCCCGAGCAUGAGCAAUGGAUCGUUGAUAAAAAAUGGAUUUCUUAAUUACAUGCGCGACUUCUGUCGACGCAACAGUAACUUGAGCUGGCUGGAGUCCGCAAAGGAGGGUGCGAGGUCCUGGAAGCAAAUGACCGAGGAGGAAAAAGAUCGCUACCGCACCGGUCCCAUUACCGACAUGGGGAUCCUUGCCAUGACUAUUGAUAAUGAACCGACUCAACGACCAAGUGACAUGUGCAACCAUCCAAUGGCCAAGAGCAGCGCAAAGUCUAAAAAAUCCUGCGCGAAACCGAAGAAAUCCUGUGCCAUGACGAAAAAGAUGGCGGCCUGUGGCAAGCCGAAGAGGAUGGCUUGCGCCAAGCCAAAGAAGGCGGCUUGUGCCAAGCCAAGGAAGGCGGCAUGUGCCAAGCCAGCGAGAAAGCCGGCUUGCCCCAAGCCAAAAAAGAGCGCGUGCGCAACAGAACAAAAAUACAAGUGCAGCAAGCCGGGUCCGAUUACCAAUAACGGGUAUCUGAACUUUGUGCGUGCGUUCCGCAAGAAGAACUGUGACCUCAAGCCGCAGGAACUGAUCAUGAAGGCCGCCAAAGCUUGGUCCAUGUUGCCGGAGGAGAAAAAGGAUCGCUAUCGCCGCAUGGUAAGCGUUUCUAUUGGACAUCUUCCCUUUCCUUGACAGUAAAACACGCAUCUAAACAAGGGACUUUACUUUUGUCGAGAGAUUUAUUCAAUUAUGGCCUGUAAGGUGACCCAUAGCAAACGUCAUCAGCGUCGCCGUGUCUGCAAACCCUGCUAAAUUCCCCUCCAAUCAAGUCAUGUCUUCAAAUCCAAGUCAGCGAAUCCUGUUUCAUUUCAUGCGACUUCCGUUUGUAGAUGUUAGAUGUUUUAUUUCAAAGCAAGUGUACCUCGUCAUUUUACAAAAUUGUAAUUAUUUUUAAAUUAUAAGCAAAUAACAGUCGUCAA